RNAcentral lists this ribosomal RNA (441 nucleotides) under uncultured bacterium. Its description in RNAcentral is "SSU rRNA". It matches the Rfam family "Bacterial small subunit ribosomal RNA", at positions 26 to 518 of the family's 1533-position model. The record is from RNAcentral.
AGAACGAACGCUGGCGGCAGGCUUAACACAUGCAAGUCGAACGCCCCGCAAGGGGAGUGGCAGACGGGUGAGUAACGCGUGGGAAUCUACCCAGUUCUACGGAAUAACACAGGGAAACUUGUGCUAAUACCGUAUACGCCUACGGGGGAAAGAUUUAUCGGGAUUGGAUGAGCCCGCGUUGGAUUAGCUAGUUGGUGGGGUAAUGGCCUACCAAGGCGACGAUCCAUAGCUGGUCUGAGAGGAUGAUCAGCCACACUGGGACUGAGACACGGCCCAAACUCCUACGGGAGGCAGCAGUGGGGAAUAUUGGACAAUGGCGCAAGCCUGAUCCAGCCAUGCCGCGUGAGUGAUGAAGGCCCUAGGGUUGUAAAGCUCUUUUGUGCGGGAAGAUAAUGACGGUACCGCAAGAAUAAGCCCGGCUAACUUCGUGCCAGCAGCCGC